Molecule: ribosomal RNA, 451 nt
Filed under: Pseudoramibacter alactolyticus
Lineage: Bacteria; Bacillati; Bacillota; Clostridia; Eubacteriales; Eubacteriaceae
Description: bacterial SSU rRNA
Rfam family: Bacterial small subunit ribosomal RNA
Source: RNAcentral
GACGAACGCUGGCGGUAUGCUUAACACAUGCAAGUCGAACGAGAAGUCUUUUAUUGAACCUUCGGGGGAUAUAAGAGACAGACAGUGGCGAACGGGUGAGUAACGCGUGGGCAACCUACCUAUCGGAGCGGGAUAGCCUCGAGAAAUCGGGAGUAAAACCGCAUAACACGGAUAUAUCGCAUGAUGAAUCCGUCAAAACUCCGGUGCCGAUAGAUGGGCCCGCGUCUGAUUAGCUAGUUGGUAAGGUAAGGGCUUACCAAGGCAACGAUCAGUAGCCGGUCUGAGAGGGCGAACGGCCACACUGGAACUGAGACACGGUCCAGACUCCUACGGGAGGCAGCAGUGGGGAAUAUUGCGCAAUGGGGGCAACCCUGACGCAGCAAUACCGCGUGAGUGAAGAAGGUUUUCGGAUCGUAAAGCUCUGUUAUUGGGGAAGAAGCAGGACGGCACC